UGGGGAAUAUUGCACAAUGGGCGCAAGCCUGAUGCAGCCAUGCCGCGUGUGUGAAGAAGGCCUUCGGGUUGUAAAGCACUUUCAGCGGGGAGGAAGGCGUUAAGGUUAAUAACCUUGGCGAUUGACGUUACCCGCAGAAGAAGCACCGGCUAACUCCGUGCCAGCAGCCGCGGUAAUACGGAGGGUGCAAGCGUUAAUCGGAAUUACUGGGCGUCAAGCGCACGCAGGCGGUCUGUCAAGUCGGAUGUGAAAUCCCCGGGCUCAACCUGGGAACUGCAUUCGAAACUGGCAGGCUAGAGUCUUGUAGAGGGGGGUAGAAUACCAGGUGUAGCGGUGAAAUGCGUAGAGAUCUGGGGGAAUACCGGUGGCGAAGGCGGCCCCCUGGACAAAGACUGACGCUCAGGUGCGAAAGCGUGGGGAGCAAACAGG
RNAcentral lists this ribosomal RNA (429 nucleotides) under Chloroflexota bacterium. RNAcentral's name for it is "Chloroflexi bacterium partial 16S ribosomal RNA". It matches the Rfam family "Bacterial small subunit ribosomal RNA", at positions 355 to 776 of the family's 1533-position model. The record is from RNAcentral. Lineage: Bacteria; Bacillati; Chloroflexota.